This 2613-nucleotide long non-coding RNA is filed under the name Ananas comosus (pineapple). RNAcentral describes it as "long non-coding RNA (ACOM_LNC043743)". The record is from RNAcentral. Lineage: Eukaryota; Viridiplantae; Streptophyta; Magnoliopsida; Poales; Bromeliaceae.
UAAAAAGUCAAUGCAAUAAAAAUGGUGUAUAACGAUACUUUUAAAUAUCGGUACAGAUAAAAAAAAAUCUUGCUGGCUAAACUACCGACACUUUUAAAAAGUGUUGCUAUAUAUGGGGUCGCUAGGUAUAUCGUGACAGUUAAAAGCGUUGGUAUAACCUAAACAUAGUGCUGUUAAUUUACCAACACUUAUUUAAACAUUUAUCAACCGCAGAACUCUACCUGGUUGGCUGCGGUGGCGAAGGAGGAGGAGAGGGAAGGGCUCUUCGUCUAGAAUUUCAGUGGAUUGAGUGAGGAGAAAAGGGAGAUGAUAAUCGAUUUUUCUUUUUUUUUUUUCUUUUCUGUUUGUAAUUGGGCUGAAUGGGCUGGGUGGGGUGGGUUGAGUAGAGUAACAUUUUAUUUUUUGUUUGAUUUGGCUUUAUAUUUAGCCAUUAGUAGAUUUUUUUUUAUGUUUUGGUAUAAAUGGGACACUUAUACAAAAGUGUCCAAAAUAUGUGUCACUAUAAUCUAAUUCUGUUGUAGUAAGCCAUUGAAAUUUGAAAUUAAAGUAUGAUACUUUUAAUAGUUUAGGAACCAUGCUUUGGUGCAGUUUUAUCCUAAUUUGUAAGGGCUUAAUUUAACCCAUUUUAUAUGGGCUUUUCACUAUUUGGGAGUUCUAACGAAUGAAAAGGCCUACUAAUAUCAUGUGCUUUUUCCGCAUACUAAUAUCAAAAGGUAAAAGCAUAUAUAACUUGUCUGAACUAUGAAUCAUUUUGAAUUGGCUUGCAAAUUUUUCAAAAUUUUGAUUUUAAUAUUCAAAUUUUCAUUUUGUCUGAUUUGAGUCACUGCGACACUUUAACUUUAAAUUUUGAAAACGUUAUUUUAUUUUUACAGAUUUAGUUAGCAUACUUCAUGCAGUUCUCGUAACUAUAAAUUUAUUAAAGCAAAUAAUUAACUUAAAUUUUGAAGUCAAAAUAUUAUUGACUGAUUCAAAUCAAAUAAGUUAAAAGGCUGGACGGUAAGUAAAAAAAUAAAAAUAAAAAUAUUAGGUAGCUGAAUUCAAAAUGGUUCAUAGUUUAAAAAAGCUAUGUAUAUUUUUACUAUACCAUAAAGUAUUUAGGGAUAAUUUAAUUCAUACAACUCUCUAUAAAUAUAUUGAAUAGUAGAUAUAUCUCUACAAAGUUUAAGUUUUCAGAUUUAUUUCUCAAAAUGUCCUAAUGAUUUUAAAUAUACCCCUAAUGGUAAUAUCCGUUAGAAAAAUAUAGCUAAUUAUAGAUAAAAUACUUAACCUUGAUUAAUGAAUGAGGUAAUUGACUUUUUUAUCCCAUUGUAUAUUUUUCUCUCAAUGAAAACCCUAGCAACAAAAAAUCUUCUUCCUCUUCCUCUUUCUCUCUCUCUCUUAAUGCACAUUUCAAAUCCAUAACUAGAAUUUUUUCGCCAUCAUUCAUCCACAAUGCAUAUUAUUUCACCCAUAUUGAGCAUGGAGAAAUCGCCUGUGACACUCCCCCUACUUCGAGAACAAAGUAUUAGAUAGGUAAUGAAGCAAAAGGAUGAGAGAAAAGGUACAGAAUAGAUUGCAAUAUUUGUGGAUUGGAUCAGUUUUUAUGAAGAAAGAAGAUGAUCAUUGAAUUUUUUUUAGAUGACAUUUCUAUACUAUUUUAUCAGUUGGGGCUUUUCGAAGAACAUAUUUGUGAUGACAAAAUUGACAUUUUUAAUUAUCUUCUGUUAAAAUAUAAAAAGUGAGCAUAUAGUAAUAAAUCGGAGAGGCAAUUAUAAAUAUUAUUAGACUUUUGAAGAGAUAAAUCUUAAAAUUUAAACUUUGUAAGGAUAUAUAUAUGUUAUUCGAUAUGUUCACAUGGAGCUGUAUAAAAUUAACCAAGUAUUUAUAUCAAAAACUGAGUACAUCUUCAACUUGGGUGGCGCAAGCAAGAAUGGCUUUCCAUGGUUAGAUCAUUAAUUCAUCAUAAUUUACCAGUGCACUUUUUGAACUAGCCAAAAUUUCCAAAUUAAGCUCCUGUUUCCUACAUUACAAAGUCAAAAUAAGAGAGAGGUAGGUGCUGGGAUGCAAACGGGACGGAUCGGAGGCAGAAGCCCUGCCCUGUCUCUCGUCCCGACUAUCAAAAUUCCGCCUCGCCUCUUGCCCCGAAUUUGAUCGUGACAGGUUAAAAAAUAUAUUCCAUAAUUCGUCCUGCCUCGUAACCCGCCAUCCGCUGGCGCCCCGAAUCUGUCCCGCCAACUAAUAUUUUUUAUAAAAUUAUAAUAUUAUUAAUAUUUUGUAAAAUAUAAAUUAAUAAUUUUAUAAUAUUAUAUAUAUAAUUAAUAAUAUUAAUUAUAAAAAUUAAAAAUAUAAAUUACAAUUCGAAGCAAAAUUCAAAAGUUUGAAAUACAUAAGAAAUGAGAGCACUAAUUUAUUUGUAUUUCAAAUUUUUUUGUAAAUACAUUAUUCUUUUAGAAUUUUCGACGCCAAAUCCACCUCGGAUUAUAAAAAUUGCCCAAUUUCUCGCCCAGAAUUCGUUUAUUUUUUUUUCUGUUUACUGCUCCAUUCAGAGCGAAUCAGGAGUUAGGACAGGAGUUCUAUCAAUCCGGAUCUAUUUGCAUCCCUAGAGGUUGGUGAAGUAUAAUUUGGUGGGUGGGU